RNAcentral lists this ribosomal RNA (465 nucleotides) under uncultured bacterium. Its description in RNAcentral is "partial 16S ribosomal RNA". It matches the Rfam family "Bacterial small subunit ribosomal RNA", at positions 28 to 507 of the family's 1533-position model. The record is from RNAcentral.
GACGAACGCUGGCGGCGUGCUUAACACAUGCAAGUCGAACGGAAAGGCCCUGCUUGCAGGGUACUCGAGUGGCGAACGGGUGAGUAACACGUGGGUGAUCUGCCCUGCACUUCGGGAUAAGCCUGGGAAACUGGGUCUAAUACCGGAUAGGAGCCAUUUUUAGUGUGAUGGUUGGAAAGUUUUUUCGGUGUAGGAUGAGCUCGCGGCCUAUCAGCUUGUUGGUGGGGUAAUGGCCUACCAAGGCGGCGACGGGUAGCCGGCCUGAGAGGGUGGACGGCCACAUUGGGACUGAGAUACGGCCCAGACGCCGACGGGAGGCAGCAGUGGGGAAUAUUGCACAAUGGGCGCAAGCCUGAUGCAGCGACGCCGCGUGGGGGAUGACGGCCUUCGGGUUGUAAACUCCUUUCGCUAGGGACGAAGCUUUUUGUGACGGUACCUAGAGAAGAAGCACCGGCUAACUACGUG